Regulatory RNA element from Clostridium tyrobutyricum DIVETGP, 206 nucleotides. It matches the Rfam family "raiA RNA". The record is from Rfam. NCBI's taxonomy places the organism in Bacteria, Bacillati, Bacillota, Clostridia, Eubacteriales, Clostridiaceae.
UUAAGUUAGGUCUGUGGUUGAAAGUCGAUGCCAGUCGCAGGCAAAGCGAUCCACGUAAAUCAAAUAAAAUGUUUGACGAGCAUGGUGCGGUUUAGAAGUAAGUCCUGCCGCAAAGAUGCGAGAGAAUUAGUAGUGAGAGGUUAAGUCCGGGUAGCAAAAGUUCCAGCAGGCGAGUGUGGGGUCAAAGACCAGGUCAGCUAGCUUGA